Molecule: transfer RNA, 77 nt
Filed under: Candidatus Zambryskibacteria bacterium RIFCSPHIGHO2_01_FULL_49_18
Lineage: Bacteria; Candidatus Zambryskiibacteriota
Also listed under: 1 other name
Description: tRNA-Ile
Rfam family: tRNA
About the family: Transfer RNA (tRNA) molecules are approximately 80 nucleotides in length. Their secondary structure includes four short double-helical elements and three loops (D, anti-codon, and T loops).
Source: RNAcentral
GCGCGUGUAGCUCAGCUGGUUAGAGCACAGAGCUUAUACCUCUGCGGUCCUUGGUUCGAAUCCAAGCACGCGCACAA